Non-coding RNA from Castor canadensis (American beaver), 9105 nucleotides. The record is from RefSeq and is a predicted model, not a curated record. NCBI's taxonomy places the organism in Eukaryota, Metazoa, Chordata, Mammalia, Rodentia, Castoridae.
UGUCAAUAAUGUUAUCUGUGAAGUGCAGCAUUAGAGCUUUCUUUUAUUCAUGAAGACUUUAAAAAUACAUCAUACCCACCCAUCCCAUCUUUGAACGUCAAGAGCAAGUUCAGGGCCAGCCCAGGAUCAAGCCCUUCGGUGGAAGCUGUGCUUUUUUGCCACUGGCUGGGGAGAUCAUUAUUCUGGGAUGCACCUGGAAUACCCGUCAGCAUUUGAAAAUGAGCCUUUGGAUGUUCACAGCACAUAUUCAAAUGAUGUGCCUCCUUCAUGUCAUUGAGGUCUUCCUGAGAUGGUGGCAGUGUACUUCAGUGACGCAGUUAUUGACUGUAUGCAGUUCAAGGAUGCCAGAAGUGACAUUUGAAGAAAACAUUCUGCUUGUUGGCUUUUCAGACUUAAAAUGAAGAUCAGAUUUUGGCCAAGUAUGGAAAUUGAAGAAAACUUUGACUACUGUGGAUUAAAGUUUAGUUUUCUCCUUUUCUGGCUUUGUGACCAAGGAUAAGCCACUCUGGACACUGAGAUCCAUUUCUUGGGGGAGUGCAGCUCACAUUCAUGGCAGAGAGGUUAAGCAUGGAUUUGAGCUCUUAUAUGGAGGCAGCAUGAACCAUCCUUGAGUGUGCCUUUGAACAUAUUUAAUCACUGGGUUUUGAUCAGGGGAAGGACGACGGCCAUCAACUGGAAAGAUGUCCACGUAUUAACUUGGGCUGCUGUGGAUGGCAAAGGUGACAGGAAUGUCCCAGAACAGUGGGAGAAGCUAGUAGCUCACAGGAAGCCAAGAUGACGAGAAUCUCCUUAAAAAAUCUGUAAGUAAAAUUUCGUUAGCUCUUUAGAAUUUGUUUAACUAAUGGAUGAUUUGUGUUUAAGACCUCAUGGUAAAAAGGACACCACAAUCAAGUAAUUUAAAAGGGUAAAAGGGAAAAUGUGUUAAAAAACAUCUGAACACUUCAGAAAAUUGAUGCUAACAUUUGAGAAAUUUUGGUUUUGCUUAAUUCUUUCUUGGUAGGAGACAUUUUUAGUUGGGUGCAUUAAUUUGGUAGAUAGGGCAAAAGUGUUUGAAGAAUUAAAAGAGGAUUCCUUAUACCAGAUGGACAUUCAAACUCAGAAUGACCCUUCUGAAACACAGGUUUUGGUCCCUGUGGUUCCUUGGGUCCCAUUUCACUCAGGUAGCUUUUGUUUGGUGUAUUUUAGAAGUAAAUAUGAAAAAAUUUGGUUAAUAUGAAUAAGAAUGGGUUCUUUGUCUACACCUUCUCCCUAGCUCAAUGUGUUCCUAAUGUGACGGUUACACAAGGCUGAUUUUGGUUUCGUUGUGAUGGUAAUACUGGUAGCGCCUGUGAUAGCUCAGUGGAAAGAUGAGAGCUUUUGAGUCAGACAUUCUAGGUCUGACUUGCAUUUAGUAUUGUAGUAGUUACUGAAACUCUCAGGACCUGACUGACUCAUCUGUACAUUGGAGCUGAUAAGACUUCUCAGGACUUGAAGACUGUUGGUCGUUCUUUGAGCUAUGUCUGGUGUAUUAGCGGGCCACAGUAAACGCGGUUGCUUUCUGUCCUAUUUGUAUCAUGAUUUACAAUUUAUGAGCCUUUAUUCUGACUUGAAAGAUUGACCAGCUCUGGGACCUGAGUUACAGUGGUGUAAAUCAGCAGUGCUCAGUAACUCUGUAGGCAGCAGAUGGUAGGUGAAGAUCAACAAGAAAACUUCCCACCAAGGCUGAUUUCAUAGUACAACAGAGGUUACCAAAAGCCAGGUAGGGAGGUGAUAGGUGGGUACACACGACUGUGUCCUGUCAACCAGACACAGGAGUUGCAAACAGCAUCAGGAAGGUGGGUACUGGUAAAAUAAUUAGGAAGCAAUGAGUUUUGAGUAUUUAUUAUGUUGGUUUAAGUAUAAUUAAAAAAUUAAGUUUAGGUCCUGCACAGUGUGGCUCAUGUCUAUAAUCCCAAGUACUUAGGAGAUGGAGAUCAGGAGGACUGCUGUUCAAGGCCAGCCCAGGCAAAAAGUUAAUGAAAUUCUGUCUCAAAAAAUAAGCUGAGCAUGUUGGCACCAGCUUUGGUCCCAGCUUUGUGGGAGGCUGUAAGUAUGAGGAUUGCAGCCUGAGGCUGGCCCAGGCAAGAACUGAAGACCCUACCUGAAAAAUAUCUAAAAAAGCAAUAAAGGCUGGGGCAUGGCUCAAGUGGGAGAGUGCCUCCCUACCCAGAGUGAGGCCCAGGGUUCCAACACCAGUAUUGCCAAAAAUGAAAUCAAUAAAUAAAAGUUGAGUUUAUAUAAUUUACUUUGUGUGUGGGAAGCGGGUAUUGGGGCUUAAACCUAGGCAAGUGUUCUACUACCUGAGUCAUGCCCCUAGCCUCUGGAGUAGAUAGGAUUAUGGGUUUGAGGCACCAUACCCUGCCCUCAAAAUUUUAAGUCUUUCUUUUUUUUUUCCCUUUCCUUUUUGGUGGGCCUUUUCAGGGGCCUCACAGUUGCUAGGCAGGCGCUCUGCCAUUUGAGCCACUCUGCUCUUCCCUCAAAAUGUAAGUCUUAAUGCCUCCAGAGAGGACCAAAUCAAAACCUGGCAGCUUAAAGUUCAUUUUGGCUUCGGGUGUAAAAUGGAGGAAAGAAACAAAACUGGAUCAGAUAGCUCCAUGUUUAUUCUAGAAGCAGCUUCCUCAGUCUUUCUAACUUGCCCUUUAGAAGAAAAUAAUUGAAGCCUGAAAUUGCUAAGUAACAGCAAGGGUUGUGGUGGUUGUUUUUAUUUUAAAUCUCACCCACCUAGUUCUCAAAACACUUUCUUUAUUAAGCCUGAAAAAUGCCUUGAAUAUUUCAAAACAUUCAUUUUGUGUCAAUGCCCUGAAUCAGACUUACAUAAUCUUAAAAUAUUCAUUUCCCUUAUUUCCUCUUAAAAGGUAUUUAUAGUUCCCACCAAGUCAGGGGAUUAUUGGAUUACUGCAAAAUUAAUUCUUGUCCAUUUCAUGAGGAAGCUCAUGAUUACCAUCUGAGGAUUUGCCUGGAUUAUGAAAUACUGCCUGUGGCUUAAUCAGAUUGAUUGAAGGUGUUUUUGGUAACUGAAAGCCAAUGUGAGAGUAAUAAUUAAUAAGGACAUUUUGCCACAGAAAACACUUUCUGAUUUGCAUUUCCAUCUCUCUCCCAGGAAUGGUCCUUCUGUUGUUCCUAAACAUCCCAAGCAGAUAAGAAUUUCUAAUUUGAGAGUUGCCUAGGUGUGCAGUCUUCAAAUGUAUACAUUUUACAGCCUUGUGUUGUAUUCCAAGCAACCAAUAGUAGCUUGCUGGAAACUUGGGAGUCGUGGGUUUUAAGGGUAGAUUCCAGUAUCAUACAAUCUCAUGUACUUUAGGAGUCAACAGUCCAGCCUAGUAAAGAAAAUAUAAUUUCAAGAUGAAUAUACUAGAUGUUAUAAAACAUGUAUAAGCAGGACAUGGAAGAAAGAGAUUGCCUGGGUGGCAAGAAGAAUAGGCCAGAUCAGAAGGGUUUCAGGAGCAGAGUACGUGUGAGUUGGGUAUUUGAUUCACGUUGGUUUAUUAAAUUGUAACAUUAACAUUGCUAAUUGGAAAGGACUUUAUGAAUGAGAAAAAUAUUCAAUAAAAAACUCUUCAGCGUGGGAGUUCUAGUUCACGUACUGCUGUAAGUCCCAGGACUUCACUUGGAUGGCUGUGAGGAUCCGGUGAGAUUUGGUUUCUGGAAGAGUGAGAGCAGCAGAAAGGCACAUGGAAAUGGAGGCACUGACUUUAGAGUACAGUGCCUUCUUGCAUGUCACAGGAGGGACGAAAUCCCUCUCCAGACAUUCUCCAUUCCCUUGGUGGUCACUUUUAUUCUCAUCCACACAUUUGCUGCUCUUCCUGCCCUCCCUCCAGCCAGGAAGGGAUUACAUUCUCCCACUCUAGUGAAGGCUGACUCCCAGAGCUGGUUUGGCCAUAAGACUUAUUUUGGCUAAUGCUAUGUGAGUGACAGUUGCAUGUACCAUUUCUGAGCAGAACCUUUAACAGCAUGGCUUUGUUCUGCCAUCUUUCUCUUGUUCUUGGUGUCCAGUCAGGGUGCUCUUGCCUUGUCCCUAGUAAAGAGGAUGUAGAGUGUGCAAAGAACAAGACAGGAAGCAGAAAGAGAUCUCUGCAUUGUUAAGAGGAUUCAUUCCUGUAGGAUAAUUUAACCUAAAGUAGUAUCCCCCCUUUCCUCUCUUUCUGGAUGCACAUGCACACACUCCCUCCCCUCUCCCUCUCUCCAUUUCUCCUGGUACCCAGAGCUUUCAUCUUGAGAGAUAGGGCAUCUAGUGUUGACCCAGAUAACCUUCAUUUGUUCUUUGAACACUUAAAGAAGAUAUCCUGCACCACAGGUUGAACUUUUAGAGGUUUAGAGUUAUCUGAGCCCUGGGCAGAGCUUUCAGGGAUCUCAAGGCAAGGUGCAGAUGUCACUGUGGAAUGACGCAGGGGGUGCCCCCAGCUUGAGGACAGUGCCCUGAGGUAUACUCACUGCUGUGCAUUCAAGUGUCAUUGCUUUCUGUUUCUUCAGCUUAGCUGUACUGACUUGCUCACUCUUCACUGUGUAAUGUCCUUUUUUUGACAUGUAUCCUAAAUCCUUUGAUUUCACAGAUAACUUGUCAAUUUUUGUUUCCUUUCAUAUAAAUUGCUUAACAUGCUGUUACAAUAAAAUUAAGCCCUUUGUCAGUUGAUUGUUUUCUUUGUUUUAUUUUCCCUCCUCAAGUUACUGGUUCUCUUUUCCCUUGAUGUAUGAAGUAGAGUUCAUUAUUGUUAAUUGCAGUGCUCCUUUCCUUUGUCUUUUGAUGGUAUCUCAGGUGUUUAAGGCUCUGUCAUAAGAGGACAAGUUUGUCUGGCCUUAGUAAUACCUUACCUUAAUUUGGAUAAUUUGGAGGUGGCUCUCAUAAUUUCAGGACACAUGUGUCAAAGAGAACUAACUUACUUUAAUGUUCCUAGUAACUAGUUCUGGCUUGAGUCCAUGAAGUGAAAUCAGGAGCUCACAGAGGUCUGUCUGAGUGGUGAUUUGUGUGUUAAGACUCUGUGUAAUUUCGCUGUUCCCCUUCCUUCAUGACUGAAUUCUGUCCCAUUAGUUCUGACCACCUCUCCAUUGAUUCCAGAAGACACAGGCAGAGUAAGUCACUUUUAGACCAUGGUCUUUCAGACUUUCUGACCAACAUGCCUGGAAAGAAAUGGUUGUCAGUCUCAGUCAGAUAGAAGAGGCACCCAGACAGCUGUCAGGUUUUGUCAGAAAUGGUCUACUUAGCUGUGGUGGGUUCAUGGGUAUUGAUUUUUAAUAUUGUUUCAUAACAAAUAGGUAAAUAUAUUUUUUCUAUGUGUUAAAUACCGCAUAAACAAAAAUAUUUAAAAGUGUAAAACACAGUUAAUUCUGCUAAAUGGGUCAUUGUAUUUAUAUCAGCAGAUCUGAAAAUUUGCCAAAAACAAGGGUUGGUCUGUUUUCUGAUUUUCUCUUAAAACACUUUAAGAUGAGCAUUUUAAUAUAGGGCUAGUACUUUGUUAGGAAAAAAAAUAGGGCGAAAGAAACUCUUAGUGAAAAUACUGUUCACAAACCCCUGAUUUUUAAGAUGAUUUUAUGCAAGUACAAGUGUCAGAGUAGUAUAAAGUUUACCUAGAAAGGUAUUUUCUCUUAGGCAGCUAUUUCCUCUCUUAGGAAAUAGCUAGUGACUUAUUCUCCACUUAUUCCUUCUCUUUUUAGGUAUUUACACAGAGUCUGAGACAUCACCCUCAGUUUCCUCAUCUGUAAGCCUGAGUAUUAGACUCAGUAGUGUCAGCUUUGGGGUCAGACAGACAUGGUUUUGAAGCUGGCUGUGACUUGGCUUAGCCAUUGAACUUGGACACAUAUAUCUUCCUUUACUCCAAGCUUCCUCAUGGGUUCAUUGUAGCUGUUAACACCUGCCUUGCAGUGCUGUGUUUAGAUUACAUGUAAAAUGAUGUGUAAACAGAAGCCAUUGGCAUUACUAGGUACUCAGUGAAUAAAUUAAGUUGAGCUUGUUUUGUUUUCUUGUUCUGGGUAGAAUUUCAAAUACAUUUUCCUUUAGGAACAAGGCUAUGAAUGAAGAUUGGGUGCAGUAUUAGAAAUUUUAUUGAUGUUACAUUUCAGAUCAAUCAUGAGUUAAAUAGGCUUUGAAGGACUGGGGAGAGAAGCCAGCCUGUGCACUACUAGAAACACAUUGUCUCCACUCAAGUGUACUCCAAGUGCAAGGCAAGAAGAGUUCAUUGACUUUAAACCUAGAAGUGAACUUUUAGAAUGUAAUUUAACCUGCCUUCUUCUGGGGAAUUUCCUGCUUCCAAUCCAGCAAGGUGAUCCUAGGAAUCUGGACCAAAUUUAAAAAAUCACAGCUAUGAAAAGAGGAGUAGUCCCUCUUAGUAGCAGAGCUGAAAGUUAAGUAGAAGAAGGCAGAUUUGAGGAAUGGAGGACAAAGCCAACUUGUGGAAGUAAAGAUGCCAUCUUGUCCUCAUAGAGUUUUUGUUGAAUUGAUCCUAAAGCCCAGCUAAGCUACCACUGUGGCUUUCCUGUUGUUGGUAUUUUGAGUCAAUAUGUCCCACCUCGCUUUUGCCUGUGCUGCUUCAAGUGCUAUUUCUGUCACCUGCAAGAUAAAGAAUGCUGACUAAUACAUUUGGUUGUUUAUACUUGGAAUAUUUAUCAGUGCCUUUGUCAUGGGAAAAUAUAAUAAAUAGUUAAUUGGGUAAUAGGGCAGCUAAUUUAUGACACAGCUUUUUUGAGAACAGUGGUAGUGUUUAUUCCUACCUACCAUAAAAGCAGAAAUGUAUUAACACAUUAAUCAAAGGGUACAAGUGACUGUGGCUAUGUGUGGUAAUGACUCUCUAUAGAAGCUUGCACUAAUGCAAAUGCCAUACAACUUUUGGCUUUAGACCAUUUAAACAAAUGCAUGUCUGUGAUGGUUCUAGGAGUUAUGAGUUGUCUUGAAGAAUUUCCCUUUGCCACCUCUUAAUUUAUUAUUAAAGUCAUUUACUUGUUGGUAGGCAGGUAGGUAUUUAUGGUUCUAAUACAUACAUUGAGAGAGAUGAUUAUAUGUAAGAGGAAUUGGUAUUCUGGCAAAUUGUCAAUUACAUAUGUAUGUGUUCCUACUUGAAAGGACAAUGGAAUGACUCUUCAGUGGGGUAGUGUUUGGGGAACUGAGAUUGAGCGUGACACACUGUUCUGUAAACUCCACUUCCUUUUAGGAAGUAUUGAAUUUGCUUUUCCAAUAGUGUUCUGUAUUGUUAGAACAUGUCGCAAAGAGCAAAGAAACACAUCUGCUGCUUGGGUUGUUUGCCAACUGGCUUGAACAACUAUAAUACUUGUUUAUUCUUGGUAUGUUAGUGAAGGUUUCCUUUUCUCCAUUGUUGCUGUUAUAUAACAUAAACAUCGUUAGACAACAAUGACUAUUCAGAAUCUGCUAAGCCUGUGGGUUACAAAGCCAGUGAAAUAUACCCUCUGCCUUCCAUGGACUUUUUUUUAUCUGGUGAGGGAGAAAGGGCAGAGAUUUCCAAAAGAAAGAGGGCACUAAGACACUAUAUGUUUCAGUGUACAUAGGCCUUGUGGGAGAGGAGAGGAGGAAAGAAGAGAGGAGAAGGUCCUCAGGGCUUGGGCCAGUGAGGGCAUUCUAGGAGAAGGAAGGUUUGAGUGAGUCCUGAAUGGGUGGGAGUUGCAGAGCUAGAGGUUGGAUUCUGAAUGACUGAACAUGAUGGCAUUGGUUCUGUGGGUUGUCACUUUUCUUUUCCCCAUAGCUGUAUAUUGAGAAUCUUUGUGGUUUGCAUUUUAAUUUGAAACAACAAAAACAUUGUAAAAACAACUAUCCCUUUUCUUUUGUGAGAAUGGUAAUGGUGUGUGUCCCUAUUGUUUCUGAAGCACAAAGAUUGUAGGAAGCAUCCUUUGAGGGUUUUAAGUUCUCAUUGCAGCUGGUCACUUUCAUGAGAACUUCCUUCUUCCAGGAUGCAGCACCUACUCUAAAUUUCAAGCUUGACUGGAUCCUAAACAAUCAGGACAAACGGUGUAGAUCACUUCUCUUUCCUGUGUGUGCUGCCUUCCCUCCUCUGCCAGGUAGCUCAGAAGGUGGUGUUAAGAAGUUACUGAGUUGUGCUUAUACACGUAAGUUUAAUGUAGUCCUCUCAAAAUAAGAGAACUGCUGCUCUAGGCAUAACAGCCAACAUAUUACCAGUUUACUCAGUGUGAUUAAUUGCAAUGUUUUUGUAAAUAGAAAACCAGUGCUCUGAAAAAUGCAUAUAACUUAAGUUAACGUUUGAGGAAAGUUGCCUAUAAAGCAAAUUGUUUUGUUUUUGAUCUCUAGUUUAAAAUUACAGUUGUUCAAUUGAUUGACAGAGGAAAGGUUUAUGACAUGAUGGCAUGCUGAACUUUGAGCAUAUGAUGGUGAUGAUGUGUGGGGAGACAUGGGGGAGGGGCCUGCCAGCUAGAACAGCAGCUGGGAGACAUCCAACCUCAGUGACCCUAACGGGAGGGAAUGAAUGCCUGAACCAGGAAUGGAAACUGGUACAGGUAAGAAUGAAGCCUUCAUGUUAUACCUGUUGACCGUGGAUUGUCAGAAGUGAGGUAGGGAGCGUAGAUGGUUCCACAAUUUAGCUUCAAGUUAAAUCUUACUCUAGGAGAAUGAGAUUACCUUUCUGGGGAGUAUGAGAGUCAAGAGAGAUAUGUCAUCUUCAUCAUUGAGGAGACAGGCCCAGCUUCAUAUAUUGGGUGUUUGUUCUAAGGAUAAGCAUUAGGCUACAGGCCUAUCUUGCUUCUGCCAUUUUUGACUAGUUAUGUCUCCUAACUGGGAGAACUCUUAGAGGUCCUGGGAGAGAGAUAAAGCAGUUCACCUGCCACUUACUGGCAGAGCUGGGACUGGCUCCUUGUGCAGUGUUCUUUCCCAUUCUGCCUCCAAGAAGAGAACAGCAUUUUAGGAAAGACUCUGAUCUCACUUUCAGUGAUCUCAUUCUUCAGUCUUCAGCUGAAGAAUAUUUUGAAGAAACUUUGGCCUGUGGAACGACUGGGUCUGAAAAAAUGUAGGGAAGUUAAACUCAAGAGAUCUUCUCUAAAGCCAAUGUAACUUAAUCUCUUUUCUUCCCCUGUUAGAAACUCUCACUAGUAAUCAACUCAUUUCUUAAAAGGACCUCAGGAAUUAGCAAUUCCAUA